This 1857-nucleotide long non-coding RNA is filed under the name Amphimedon queenslandica. RNAcentral describes it as "uncharacterized LOC109586531, transcript variant X1". Lineage: Eukaryota; Metazoa; Porifera; Demospongiae; Haplosclerida; Niphatidae. The record is from RNAcentral.
CUCUCACUGACUCUAUAUUUUUCUUCUCCCCUGCUCACAGGCUUUUUGAUGAUACUCAGCUUCUUGUAAGCAGUGCUGGUGGUACUUAGGAGCACUUAGCUAAAGCAGUCACUAAAAUUGUCAGUACUAUGCAAACUGAAGCAGAUCAAGUCAAGAAAGGAGCUUUGUCACUUAACUUUGAUGAUGUUGAGGUUUAAGUUAGCUUUUCUAUUCUUUCUUUCUUGCAGUUUAUAUAAUUGUUAUUACUUGAUGGUGUAAGAGAUGUUGCUAAUGCUCUGGUUGAUCUAACUAAUGCCACUCAAGUUGCUUGGGGCAAGAGUGUCAGUCACCCUUUUAUAGAGAACCUUAAAAAAUUGCUAAGCUAUAGUCGAUUCUUAAAGACAAUUAAGAAUGUUCAAAAUGAAGCUGCUCAUGCAGGGCAUUUAAUUGCUUGAAAAGACCAUUGACUCCUUUGAAAGUGACCUUAUGGAAUUCCAAUCUUCUAAGCCACCACAAUUAGUUAAAGCUAAAGCUACCCCAGAGAAACUUCUCUAAGUCACCCAAGCCAUUGCUCUUGCCUCCUCAAAAACAGUCACAGCCAGAAACAGCUGCUAGUAGGUUGAUGUAUCAGCAGCUGCUAAUCUCAGAUACCAAGCUGUUCAUGAUCUCCUGUUGAUUAGCAAAGCAGUUGCACAAAACUUUACACAGACUAAAGAACUGGCUGAAAAGUCAUGGCCUGUUUUUAAGAAUAUGCCAUUGCCUAUAAAGCUUUGCUGCAGUUCCUACAUCACAUUGUACUUAAAUCAGAUAACUCCUCCCUUCGUGUUAAGCUCCUCUCAUUCACAAGAGAGGUUGCUAGUGCUGUCAGUGACAUUGUUAAGAUUACCAGUGAGUUUAAGUAAGGAGCUGGUUUCAUUGUUGAUAUGAGUAAUCCUGAGGUCAGAGCUAAACAAGAACUCCUUGCAGCUGCCACCUCUAUUGAAGCUGCGUUGAUGUAUCUUUCAAAAUUGUUAUUGUUUCAUUUCUCACUGAUUCAGACCACUGAUGCUCAUUUGAAUUUUGAUGCUCAGAUCCUUGAGGCUGCCAAGAGCAUUGCAGCUGCCACCAAGAGCCUGGUACAGUCGGCUAUAGACACUCAACGCGGGAACUGACAGAACAAGGGAAAAGUAGAUCUUUCCUUGCCUUGCAGAUAGUCUGUGGUCUGAUGGACUUGUUUCUGCUGCCAAGUUAGUAGCUGAGUUAACCUGUCAGUUAUGUGAAGCAGCUAGUGAUGUGGUUCAAGGUGAAGGUGAUGCACAGGAAGGAAGACUCUUUUGGGGCCUCUAAUGCAGUUGCUGCUACUACUGCACAACUCCUUUAUGCUGUUUAAGUUAUGGCUGAUCCCACUCUGAAAAUAAUAAGAGACUACAAGCAAAGAAUAUGGGAGAGAGAGAUGAAUGGAGAAGAGGGACAGUAAGGAGUGAAUGGAGAUAUACAGGAACACGAAGCUGAUUGUAUUGUUAUUAUUAUUUAUUAUUGAUCAAUAGAGAGCUGGCCAACAAGUCAAGAAGGCUACAGAGACACUUGUCAAAGCAGCAAAAGACUCAGCUGACAAUGCAAUGGAAAGAAAGGUUGAUGCAUUUGAAGAGUUAAUUAGAUAUAGUAAAAAUCCAACUCUAAUCAUGGAAGCUCAAGCACGGAUUGCUGAAAAACAGAGAGAAUUAGAACUGCUCUACCAAGAACUAAUUGGGAUCCAUCAAAAGAAAUGAGUAAUUAAAAACCUUUAAAAACAAUAGUCACUUUUACAACAUUUGUGAUAACUUUGGAAGGCGGAAGACCAUUACGAGAGACUAGAUGAUAAUUAAGGACAAAAAGAGGAGGGAGAGAAGGAGAGACAGA